AAGUGAUUUGGUGUGGCUGUUCAGUUGCGGACCUCUGUUGAGGAAAGACUCGCCGGGCCACCGCCGAGAUAGGGGGUAGAAGAAAUGCGCCCGAAAUCUAGGCAGCGCAUACUCCGAAAGGACAACUUGUUCAGAAAUCCCCCUCCCUCUAUAAAGUUU
This 159-nucleotide small RNA is filed under the name Sinorhizobium meliloti 2011. RNAcentral's name for it is "putative ncRNA". Lineage: Bacteria; Pseudomonadati; Pseudomonadota; Alphaproteobacteria; Hyphomicrobiales; Rhizobiaceae. The record is from RNAcentral.